Molecule: ribosomal RNA, 1383 nt
Filed under: Helicobacter pylori
Lineage: Bacteria; Pseudomonadati; Campylobacterota; Epsilonproteobacteria; Campylobacterales; Helicobacteraceae
Description: 16S ribosomal RNA
Rfam family: Bacterial small subunit ribosomal RNA
Source: RNAcentral
ACGCUGGCGGCGUGCCUAAUACAUGCAAGUCGAACGAUGAAGCUUCUAGCUUGCUAGAAUGCUGAUUAGUGGCGCACGGGUGAGUAACGCAUAGGUCAUGUGCCUCUUAGUUUGGGAUAGCCAUUGGAAACGAUGAUUAAUACCAGAUACUCCCUACGGGGGAAAGAUUUAUCGCUAAGAGAUCAGCCUAUGUCCUAUCAGCUUGUUGGUAAGGUAAUGGCUUACCAAGGCUAUGACGGGUAUCCGGCCUGAGAGGGUGAACGGACACACUGGAACUGAGACACGGUCCAGACUCCUACGGGAGGCAGCAGUAGGGAAUAUUGCUCAAUGGGGGAAACCCUGAAGCAGCAACGCCGCGUGGAGGAUGAAGGUUUUAGGAUUGUAAACUCCUUUUGUUAGAGAAGAUAAUGACGGUAUCUAACGAAUAAGCACCGGCUAACUCCGUGCCAGCAGCCGCGGUAAUACGGAGGGUGCAAGCGUUACUCGGAAUCACUGGGCGUAAAGAGCGCGUAGGCGGGAUAGUCAGUCAGGUGUGAAAUCCUAUGGCUUAACCAUAGAACUGCAUUUGAAACUACUAUUCUAGAGUGUGGGAGAGGUAGGUGGAAUUCUUGGUGUAGGGGUAAAAUCCGUAGAGAUCAAGAGGAAUACUCAUUGCGAAGGCGACCUGCUGGAACAUUACUGACGCUGAUUGCGCGAAAGCGUGGGGAGCAAACAGGAUUAGAUACCCUGGUAGUCCACGCCCUAAACGAUGGAUGCUAGUUGUUGGAGGGCUUAGUCUCUCCAGUAAUGCAGCUAACGCAUUAAGCAUCCCGCCUGGGGAGUACGGUCGCAAGAUUAAAACUCAAAGGAAUAGACGGGGACCCGCACAAGCGGUGGAGCAUGUGGUUUAAUUCGAAGCUACACGAAGAACCUUACCUAGGCUUGACAUUGAGAGAAUCCGCUAGAAAUAGUGGAGUGUCUGGCUUGCCAGACCUUGAAAACAGGUGCUGCACGGCUGUCGUCAGCUCGUGUCGUGAGAUGUUGGGUUAAGUCCCGCAACGAGCGCAACCCCCUUUCUUAGUUGCUAACAGGUCAUGCUGAGAACUCUAAGGAUACUGCCUCCGUAAGGAGGAGGAAGGUGGGGACGACGUCAAGUCAUCAUGGCCCUUACGCCUAGGGCUACACACGUGCUACAAUGGGGUGCACAAAGAGAAGCAAUACUGCGAAGUGGAGCCAAUCUUCAAAACACCUCUCAGUUCGGAUUGUAGGCUGCAACUCGCCUGCAUGAAGCUGGAAUCGCUAGUAAUCGCAAAUCAGCCAUGUUGCGGUGAAUACGUUCCCGGGUCUUGUACUCACCGCCCGUCACACCAUGGGAGUUGUGUUUGCCUUAAGUCAGGAUGCUAA